ACAUGCAGUCGAGGGGCAGCAUCAUCAAAGCUUGCUUUGAUGGAUGGCGACCGGCGCACGGGUGAGUAACACGUAUCCAACCUGCCGACAACACUGGGAUAGCCUUUCGAAAGAAAGAUUAAUACCGGAUGGCAUAGUUUUCCCGCAUGGGAUGAUUAUUAAAGAAUUUCGGUUGUCGAUGGGGAUGCGUUCCAUUAGGCAGUUGGCGGGGUAACGGCCCACCAAACCAACGAUGGAUAGGGGUUCUGAGAGGAAGGUCCCCCACAUUGGAACUGAGACACGGUCCAAACUCCUACGGGAGGCAGCAGUGAGGAAUAUUGGUCAAUGGACGAGAGUCUGAACCAGCCAAGUAGCGUGAAGGAUGACUGCCCUAUGGGUUGUAAACUUCUUUUAUACGGGAAUAAAGUUAGCCACGUGUGGCUUUUUGUAUGUACCGUAUGAAUAAGGAUCGGCUAACUCCGUGCCAGCAGCCGCGGUAAUACGGAGGAUCCGAGCGUUAUCCGGAUUUAUUGGGUUUAAAGGGAGCGUAGGCGGGUUGUUAAGUCAGUUGUGAAAGUUUGCGGCUCAACCGUAAAAUUGCAGUUGAUACUGGCGACCUUGAGUGCAACAGAGGUAGGCGGAAUUCGUGGUGUAGCGGUGAAAUGCUUAGAUAUCACGAAGAACUCCGAUUGCGAAGGCAGCUUACUGGAUUGUAACUGACGCUGAUGCUCGAAAGUGUGGGUAUCAAACAGGAUUAGAUACCCUGGUAGUCCACACAGUAAACGAUGAAUACUCGCUGUUGGCGAUAUACAGUCAGCGGCCAAGCGAAAGCAUUAAGUAUUCCACCUGGGGAGUACGCCGGCACGGUGAAACUCAGAGGAAUUGACGGGGGCCCGCACAAGCGGAGGAACAUGUGGUUUAAUUCGAUGAU
RNAcentral lists this ribosomal RNA (910 nucleotides) under uncultured bacterium. RNAcentral describes it as "bacterial SSU rRNA". It matches the Rfam family "Bacterial small subunit ribosomal RNA", at positions 53 to 958 of the family's 1533-position model. The record is from RNAcentral.